UACGUAGGGAGCAAGCGUUGUCCGGAAUCAUUGGGCGUAAAGCGCGCGUAGGUGGCUUCGUAAGUCCGUUGUGAAAGUCAAAGGCUCAACCUUUGAAAGCCGAUGGAUACUGCGGAGCUAGAGUACGGAAGAGGCGAGUGGAAUUCCUGGUGUAGCGGUGGAAUGCGCGGAUAUCAGGAGGAACACCAAUAGCGAAGGCAGCUCGCUGGGACGUUACUGACACUGAGGCGCGAAAGCGUGGGGAGCGAACAGG
RNAcentral lists this ribosomal RNA (253 nucleotides) under uncultured bacterium. RNAcentral describes it as "partial 16S ribosomal RNA". It matches the Rfam family "Bacterial small subunit ribosomal RNA", at positions 524 to 776 of the family's 1533-position model. The record is from RNAcentral.